AUUGAACGCUGGCGGCAGGCCUAACACAUGCAAGUCGCACGAGUGGCGGACGGGUGAGUAAUGUCUGGGAAACUGCGCGAUGGAGGGGGAUAACUACUGGAAACGGUAGAUAAUAACGCAUACCAUCGGAUGUGCCCAGAUGGGAUUAGCUAGUAGGUGGGGUACUGGCUCACCUAGGCGACGAUCCCUAGCUGGUCUGAGAGGAUGACCAGCCACACUGGAACUGAGACACGGUCCAGACUCUUACGGGAGGCAGCAGUGGGGAAUAUUGCACAAUGGGCGCAAGCCUGAUGCAGCCAUGCCGCGUGUAUGAAGAAGGCCUUCGGGUUGUAAAGUACUUUCAGCGGGGAGGCGUUACCCGCAGAAGAAGCACCGGCUAACUCCGUGCCAGCCGCCGCGGUAAUAC
RNAcentral lists this ribosomal RNA (406 nucleotides) under uncultured bacterium. Its description in RNAcentral is "partial 16S ribosomal RNA". It matches the Rfam family "Bacterial small subunit ribosomal RNA", at positions 30 to 526 of the family's 1533-position model. The record is from RNAcentral.